RNAcentral lists this ribosomal RNA (469 nucleotides) under uncultured bacterium. RNAcentral's name for it is "partial 16S ribosomal RNA". It matches the Rfam family "Bacterial small subunit ribosomal RNA", at positions 28 to 507 of the family's 1533-position model. The record is from RNAcentral.
GACGAACGCUGGCGGCGUGCUUAACACAUGCAAGUCGAACGGAAAGGCCCUGCUUGCAGGGUGCUCGAGUGGCGAACGGGUGAGUAACACGUGGGUGAUCUGCCCCUUACUUUGGGAUAAGCCUGGGAAACUGGGUCUAAUACUGGAUAGGACCAUGCUGUAGGUGGUGUGGUGGAAAGAUUAGUUUCGGUAAGGGAUGAGCUCGCGGCCUAUCAGCUUGUUGGUGGGGUAAUGGCCUACCAAGGCGUCGACGGGUAGCCGGCCUGAGAGGGUGGACGGCCACAUUGGGACUGAGGGACGGCCCAGACUCCUACGGGAGGCAGCAGUGGGGAAUAUUGCACAAUGGGGGCAAGCCUGAUGCAGCGACGCCGCGUGGGGGAUGACGGCCUUCGGGUUGUAAACUCCUUUCAGCCAUGACGAAGCCCUUGUGGUGACGGUAGUGGUAGAAGAAGCACCGGCUAACUACGUG